RNAcentral lists this unclassified non-coding RNA (220 nucleotides) under plant metagenome. RNAcentral's name for it is "partial contains small subunit ribosomal RNA, internal transcribed spacer 1, and 5.8S ribosomal RNA". The record is from RNAcentral.
UUUCCGUAGGUGAACCUGCGGAAGGAUCAUUACAGAGUUCAUGCCCUCACGGGUAGAUCUCCCACCCUUAAAUGUUUAUACCUUAGUUGCUUUGGCAGGCCGUGGAAACACCAUGGGCUCCGGCUUAUGCGUGCCUGCCAGAGGAAACAAACUCUGUUUUUAGUGAUGUCUGAGUACUAUAUAAUAGUUAAAACUUUCAACAACGGAUCUCUUGGUUCUG